Small nucleolar RNA from Hemiscyllium ocellatum (epaulette shark), 97 nucleotides. RefSeq annotates it as small nucleolar RNA SNORD16. The record is from RefSeq and is a predicted model, not a curated record. Lineage: Eukaryota; Metazoa; Chordata; Chondrichthyes; Orectolobiformes; Hemiscylliidae. The transcript has a single exon.
UGCUAUGAUGUUGUAAUUGUCUAAUGCUGUGCACAAUGGCAGUUGCCUUCUGUUAUUACACUGGUGCAGACAUAUGAUGGUCAUUUGGAUCUGAGCA